This 465-nucleotide ribosomal RNA is filed under the name uncultured bacterium. RNAcentral describes it as "partial 16S ribosomal RNA". It matches the Rfam family "Bacterial small subunit ribosomal RNA", at positions 28 to 507 of the family's 1533-position model. The record is from RNAcentral.
GACGAACGCUGGCGGCGUGCUUAACACAUGCAAGUCGAACGGAAAGGCCCCCUUGUGGGGUACUCGAGUGGCGAACGGGUGAGUAACACGUGAGUAACCUACCCUUGACUUUGGGAUAACUUCAGGAAACUGGGGCUAAUACCGGAUAGGAGCUCCUGCUGCAUGGUGGGGGUUGGAAAGUUUCGGCGGUUGGGGAUGGACUCGCGGCUUAUCAGCUUGUUGGUGGGGUAGAGGCUCACCAAGGCUUUGACGGGUAGCCGGCCUGAGAGGGUGACCGGCCACAUUGGGACUGAGAUACGGCCCAGACUCCUACGGGAGGCAGCAGUGGGGAAUAUUGCACAAUGGGCGGAAGCCUGAUGCAGCAACGCCGCGUGCGGGAUGACGGCCUUCGGGUUGUAAACCGCUUUCGCCUGUGACGAAGCGUGAGUGACGGUAAUGGGUAAAGAAGCACCGGCUAACUACGUG